ACAUAACUAUUUCUACAUUCGUAUUUCAUGUAAGCAUGUUCUCAAAAUAUCUGCCUAGAUGCUAGGCCGCUAGUCAUAGUCCGAAUUAAAUUCCUAUGCAUUUGAAAAUUUAGAAAUGACGUUAAGACCUACUUAGGCACCUCCUAGUCUCACAUAAGUCGCAACUCUCACAUAUACAGAAAAGUUAUACUUUCAUUUUUCAUUUUAUUUUUUUAAUAAAAUAUAAGAGGUUUGUUAAUGCUCGAAUAAACUGCUCAUUAUAUUUAUAGUUCAUUUUAUUUUGUAACUUAUAUCUUUCAAUACAAUUAUGUAUAUUUUUUUCUUUUGAGUACAUGUAUAUUUUUUUAACUAUAAAUAAAAACUAAUUUGUACUGUGUAUAAUAAAUUUACUUAAAUUCUCCUAAACUCUGUCUAACUGCCUAAGUAUUAAAUUUCAGUCAACCGCCCAACUAAUGGCUAUUGUGCAAUCAGUCUAAUCUAAAAUUCUACAGUGGAGCUGGUUAAGCUUUCUUGGAAGUUAAAUUUGUCAUUUUGUGAUGCUUUUUCAUUCUUAUCCUGUCUAGACAAAUCGGUGACGGCGGUCAGCGAUAGGGUGGGUGUUUGUAGAUUUAAUAACAGUUGGUGGCGUCAUGUGCAUUGUUGCUGCCGUUUUUUAUUUUCUGCACACCUCGUGGAGAAAUUUUUUGUUGUUUUCGUAUCACAAAGGUAUACAACGUAUUAUUAUAUAAAUGGUAAAAACUUUUAUUUUUUAUGUUAUUAAUUUUUAACAUAAAAAUCUAAUCACUUAUGUAAUAAUAAAUGAUAUAUCACCCCAUAUAUUGGACCCAUAAAAUAAUAUUUUGACAUCGUGGUCAGGUUAGCCACUCACUCAAAGAAUCAGGUUUUUUCGGUUCACUAUUUCAACUUCAUUUUCAGACUCAAGGAAUCAGCGAAUUGGGUCACACAUUCUUGUGGUGGGCCUAUCUUGGGCUUCAAAACAUGGGCCUCUUAUUGAGUGAGCUAAGUUGGGCUAAAAGGAAUGAGUUGUGUCCGGUCGGGAUGUGAGGUGACAAGUUAGAAUUGGGCUAUCUGGCAACGAAGAGUUCAAAUAUGAGUUUUAUUGGACGGGGGUGAGGUAAAGGGUCAGGAUUGGUUAUUUGGUGGCAAAGAGUUUAAAGAUGAAGAUAAAUUUUUUUAAUACAUACGACAUUGUUUACACGAAAGAGUGGAGGCUAGACUAAGUCUCACAAUGGAUAGCCAAAUAAUUUAGUUCAAAUUCGUAUUUGGUGAGAAUCGAACUUAAGACCUUUUAUAUGUGAAAAGAAAUAUCACUAAACAGUAGCACUAAGUGACAAAGAUAAAGACAAACUUAUGUGCAAGCGGAUGUAUGAUAUUUCGUGCUUAAUUAUCUUAUUACAUGACACAUCAUAUGAAGAAAGAGAGAUAGAUAUAAACUAAUAUACACCUGUUUACACCUAAGAUUUUGCCUAGCUCUAUUGGAUAAAAGCAGUUGGUUAUUGGUGACACAAGAAAAUUGUGGGUUCUAUUGGUUUAUAUUGGGUGUUUAAGGAAUGUUCUAUUGGCUCUCUUAUUCAGGAGAGGAUUUGCGGUAAACCUCAAAAUAAGCCAACAAUAAUUAGUCCCCAAACUUAACACAAAUAUUAAACCGUUAUUGCAUACAUGUGACUCAAAUACGAGAUUUUUCUAUAUCAAUAGACUUGAAGUGCUAAUUGGAAAGAUGAACAUUUGAUGUCAAUAGAAAUCCUCAUAUUUCUAGUCAAUUUAUUUGCUUAGCUUCCAAACCACAAUUUGUUGUGAGCUCCAGCUGUUUAAGCACACACCACUAGUGAGCAUAGCACCACGUGUGGUAUGAAUUCAUUUGCUAAGUCAAUCCAAAUGAAACAUUUUGUAGACUAUGGUGCCACCUAAGUAUCUCAAAUCAAUGAUAUAAUAUCACGUAGAAAGUUAAAACACAUGACUUUAUAUUAUCUUCUAGGAUGCCGUAGUGGCAUCAGAGAGCGUAGGUAAGUCCCCGGUGUGAAUAGAGCCUCAAGGCUUGAGUGGAAGUUUCUAGGUAGCCCUUGGAUAUGUGGUUUCUUUACUGGCUCCAACAAUACCUAAUUGAUGACAGUGAUCUAUAGAUGUCUUUUUCAUCAUCGCAACUUCUUGGCCAUUCUUAAAAGUAAAAACAUUCAUCUUUCUCUAGCAUCAUUAAUAACCCUGCCCUAGAAGCAUUCAGAGACUAAGAAUGAGAAGAAGGAGAAGAAGCCAUGGGAGGAGGCAACAGCCAGAAGUCGAAGAUGGCUCGGCAAAGGAACAUGGAGAAGCAAAAAAAUGCUGCCAAAGGCAGCCAGCUUGAAUCAAACAAGAUAUCAAUGACAAUUCAUGUAAACGAAGCUAAUUGGCACCAAAAUUUCAUUGUACUUUGAGCAUCUGCAGUGUUUCUGAUGCAAGGUAGUGAUUGAUGAUUGCAUUGCAAGGUGUGUAUGCAAGUAUUCAUAUGCAAGACGAGCGAGGUGAAGUGCAGGGAGCAUGCAGAAGCUAAACAUCCCAAAUCUGAUGUUUACACAUGUUUCCCUCAUCUU
Molecule: long non-coding RNA, 2564 nt
Organism: Pyrus x bretschneideri (Chinese white pear)
Lineage: Eukaryota; Viridiplantae; Streptophyta; Magnoliopsida; Rosales; Rosaceae
Exons: 2
Source: RefSeq, a predicted model, not a curated record